UGGGGAAUUUUGGACAAUGGGCGAAAGCCUGAUCCAGCAAUGCCGCGUGUGUGAAGAAGGCCUUCGGGUUGUAAAGCACUUUUGUCCGGAAAGAAAUCCUUGGCUCUAAUACAGUCGGGGGAUGACGGUACCGGAAGAAUAAGCACCGGCUAACUACGUGCCAGCAGCCGCGGUAAUACGUAGGGUGCAAGCGUUAAUCGGAAUUACUGGGCGUAAAGCGUGCGCAGGCGGUUUGCUAAGACCGAUGUGAAAUCCCCGGGCUCAACCUGGGAACUGCAUUGGUGACUGGCAGGCUAGAGUAUGGCAGAGGGGGGUAGAAUUCCACGUGUAGCAGUGAAAUGCGUAGAGAUGUGGAGGAAUACCGAUGGCGAAGGCAGCCCCCUGGGCCAAUACUGACGCUCAUGCACGAAAAGCGUGGGGAGCAAAACAGGAUUAGAUACCCUGGUAGUCCACGCCCUAAACGAUGUCAACUAGUUGUGGGGAUUCAUUUCCUUAGUAACGUAGCUAACGCGUGAAGUUGACCGCCUGGGGAGUACGGUCGCAAGAUUAAAACUCAAAUGAAUUGACGGGGUCAUAGCUGUUUCCU
RNAcentral lists this ribosomal RNA (586 nucleotides) under uncultured bacterium. RNAcentral describes it as "partial 16S ribosomal RNA". It matches the Rfam family "Bacterial small subunit ribosomal RNA", at positions 355 to 1375 of the family's 1533-position model. The record is from RNAcentral.